Molecule: long non-coding RNA, 1189 nt
Organism: Phyllostomus hastatus (greater spear-nosed bat)
Lineage: Eukaryota; Metazoa; Chordata; Mammalia; Chiroptera; Phyllostomidae
Exons: 3
Source: RefSeq, a predicted model, not a curated record
AAGGAUGCAGGGCUGCUAGAAAACACGAGACAAUGCCAUCUGUGCUAAACUGGAUGUCCCCAAACUGUGUGUCAAGUGGAAGGAGUGAAACAUGCAAGGUACGAUGGGAUCGUAAGCUUCCUGAGGGCAGGGUGACGGUGUGACCUGUUAACAGCUGGACCUAGUAGGAGGGGAGCGUCUGCUAUUGGGGGCAGAGAAAAGGGUUGAUGCUACGGAAAAGCAGUUGACUCCUCCAGGCCAAGAAGGGUGAUAGCAAGAGGCAGACCGUCAGAGGUUGUCCAGGGGCCCUGCCGGCACGCCUCCGAGGCUCCAGAUCUCGUCUGCCAAAGGAGCCGGUGUAGGAACUGGACGUCUCAGUGAUAACCAUUGGCAAUCACAACUGUUAGUGACAGCUACUUACUGAGAUCCUGCCACGUGACAGGCCUGUCUUCCAACGACCCUCUGUGAAAGGAAGUUACAACCUACACUCACAGGCUUAGCUCUGCCUCCUCCACGAGGCCCACAGUGAAGCCAUGAGGUCCUGCAGCCCCCCUGAACCACCACAGCACUGAGCCCCCACAUCGAAGGCCUGCACCAUUCAACCAGACACUCUCUGAGCGCCUACUCUGCGCAUCGGGGCCCCCGCUGGCUUUUGGGAGACGAGGAUAAAUGCCUCCACACAUUCACAUUUCCUGUUCCCCAGCCAUCAGCAUGGUUUCAUUAUUCUCAAUCCCUCCCAUCAUUAGAGAUUCUAUUAUAUUACCAGUCAUCACUUUAUGGAGCUGCCAACCCAUGCUUCCUCCGUAACUGGGUUUACACCUUUCGCUCAUGAGCAGGAAAACUUAACAGUUUCCAGCGGUCUGUGAAGGCCCCCGAGCAACUUCCGUCAGCUUUGUGAUCGACUGAAGCUAGUUUGUUUGUGAUCCCUCCCCCAUCAAAAUGUCCAAACUAGGUUUUCAGAAAGGCCCAAAGUGAGAAAGUUUUAGCCGCUUCAGAUGCUGCAACGGGCCCAUUUCUCACCGUGCAGGUUCUCCAGUUUGUCUUUACCUGACUGCUGGGUGACAGCGACUUACCUGGUCAUUUCACGGCUCAGGAGGCAUCUGUCCUGGCUGUGCUAGGCUGGGCCUGGCUGGGAAAUCACCUCAGGUUCCCUUCCCGAUUUGGGGCCUGUUCUCCCCCGGAGUCCCACAGGACCAACGCAACCUAUUCC